Molecule: microRNA, 22 nt
Filed under: Monodelphis domestica (gray short-tailed opossum)
Lineage: Eukaryota; Metazoa; Chordata; Mammalia; Didelphimorphia; Didelphidae
Description: mdo-miR-7398a-3p
Source: miRBase by way of RNAcentral
UAAAUUUCUCGCCUUUCACAAU